RNAcentral lists this ribosomal RNA (479 nucleotides) under uncultured bacterium. RNAcentral describes it as "bacterial SSU rRNA". It matches the Rfam family "Bacterial small subunit ribosomal RNA", at positions 335 to 803 of the family's 1533-position model. The record is from RNAcentral.
ACUCCUACGGGAGGCAGCAGUGGGGAAUAUUGCACAAAUGGGCGCAAGCCUGAUGCAGCCAUGCCGCGUGUAUGAAGAAGGCCUUCGGGUUGUAAAGUACUUUCAGCAGUGAGGAAGUGGUGUAGUUAAUAGCAUACUCAUUUGACGUUAGCUGCGAAGAAGAAGCGAACCGGCUAACUCCGUGCCAGCAGCCGCGGUAAUACGGAGGGUGCGAGCGUUAAUCGGAAUUACUGGGCGUAAAGCGCAUGCAGGUGGUUUGUUAAAGUCAGAUGUGAAAGCCCGGGGCUCAACCUCGGAAUUGCAUUUGAAACUGGCAAACUAGAGUACUGUAGAGGGGGGUAGAAUUUCAGGUGUAGCGGUGAAAAUGCGUAGAGAUCUGAAGGAAUACCGGUGGCGAAGGCGGCCCCCUGGACAGAUACUGACACUCAGAUGCGAAAGCGUGGGAGCAAACAGGAUUAGAUACCCUGGUAGACUGUCAU